Molecule: long non-coding RNA, 2281 nt
Organism: Poecilia latipinna (sailfin molly)
Lineage: Eukaryota; Metazoa; Chordata; Actinopteri; Cyprinodontiformes; Poeciliidae
Exons: 4
Source: RefSeq, a predicted model, not a curated record
GACAAAAAAGAUUGGAUCGCAUUUUCUAACUUAUUUGAAAUGACAAAUUGAGUAAUAAUUUCAAUUUAUAGCAUCUUAAAGAUUUUCAACAUCAGCAGCAUAUCCUAAUUUAUUAAAUAUGACCGAACUUCAGAGGUGUGACAGAAGUUGCCGUUUCAUGAAAUUUGUUUCCAUUCUUCUCAGUGUAACAUGUUCCUCCAUGUGUCAACAGGAUGUUGUGAGAUAGGAAUCAGUCCAGCAGCAGCUUUAAAACACCACCUUAUUUAUUCCACUUAUUUCUUUUUUUUUUCUUUUUGUUUAAACCUCAUCUUGUUACAAUCCAGCAGCCAAAAAACAUACGAAACACUUGUAACGGUUUCUCUGUGGUUUUUAAUCAGGAGCGUACAUUCGCGCCCAGUAGGCAAACUGUGUGCAGGCGUGUCGCCCCGCAGGCUUUCUGUUUACAUUUUAGGCAGCAGUCGGUAGAGUUCGGAUGAGCCUCUCUUAACAAGAAGUCCUUUUAGGCGUUUCGCAUUCAUCUCUGGAGCAACACCUGCCGUUUUCCCUGCUGCUAUUCUGGAGCAGCUCCUCUAAGAUCCGCGGCUCGGCUGUCACUGGCUCCUGCUGCUCAGCGGCCCGCUGCGGGGGCCGACAGAGGCCGGCGGCUCCCUCUGGCAGCCGCUGUCUGCGUGAUGGCUGAAUCUUAGCUGCCCAAAAUGACAACAGCUUCUUUUUUUCCCCCCCGACUCCUACAACUCCCGUCCUGGCAACGUUUGGAGGAUUUAUCCGUGAAACGGAGCCUGAAUACUACGAGUGACCUCUCUGAAACCGCUGCAUUGUCAGAGCCGUUCACAGUUUGAAGAUCUGACUAGAGAAGAAGAAUCUCGACAUUCUUUCACAGGCACAUUUAACUCAGGUCAGAUGUACCCAUGGUAAGCUUGAUGUGAUCCAACGGGAUGCUUUUAAAUUCUCACUGAUGUUUCCUGGAAAAGUUCUGCAGCCGCUAAUACUACCGCCGAAAAGGAUGUACAUAGAGGAAAAUCUGUGGCAGAUCCUCAUCCGUCGCGGCUCUCAACUCAGACAACUGAAGAUGUGUCCAGGAGUGAAGGACUAAAGUCAAUUUGGGGACAACAAGCUUCAUAGCCUGCUUAUGUUUUUUUUUUAUUUUUUUUUUAAUUUUUUUUUAUGCCUUUUGCUUCACACCAAACCAACUGUUAUUUGGCAUCACAUCGGUGUUUGUGAAUUGUUUUAGAAAUUAAAUCCUGUUAGCCUACGUCACCUCCUGCAUAUUUAACGCAGCCCUUUCAGGUUUUAUUGGUUGCAGUAAAAGCUAGUCUGUUAUUAAUAGAGGAGAUGAGUAAAAUGCUGCCGCGCGUAACGCAGCGUUUUCGAAAGGUUCGGUCCUAACGGAGAGAUGAAAAUGUCAACAGCCCUCACGUCGCUCGUUCAGGCAUGAAGCGGCUUACUGGAGGUGCCUGUGCGGAUGUUUUAAAUUAAGCGUUUAUACUUCAGUCCCGACAAGCCGGACCUUUAUACACGUUAUUAAAAGUGGACUUGAUGAAACAUUUUUAUCGUUACUUUGUAAUUCUCCUUGAUAGUUAUUUCCGGUCCUUCAACCCGACCAUGAAACGUGGCGCGCUGUGUGUUCACCAGGAAACAGGAGGACAAAACAAGAGGUGUCACACUAUCCAAAAAUAUAUACAUCUAAAAGUCCUGCCUUUUAAAACCACUGGACUUGAGAAGCAAAUUAUUCUUCAGUUUCUCAUCUUAAUAAAUGUAAGGUUUUCAUCUUAUAGUCCUCCUUUUUAAAGACAGGGAAUUUCUUGUGCCCACGUUUUAUGCGCAACGUUUCAAAAAGGCAGACGUUUAUGGCGGUGUGACAAUUCCUUACUUUUACCAUUUUAUGCUUGCAUGGAAACCUUUGCAUUUGAAUGCAAACGAAUAAAUAGGUUAUUAUUGGAUUAAUAUUCACUGCAGCAAGCUGUUGACUCCUGAAUAUCUCCAGAAGGUAGAUUCUCCGCUUGCUGUGGCCCGGCUUCCAUCUAGUGGUGAAACUCUGCAGAUACAAAAAGAGAGAGGAAAAAACAAAUCCAUGGAUCUACUGUCUUUAUAGUGUUUGUGAAUCCUGGCCCUCAUGAUCCACUGAUAUCUACGUUUUAGGUGCUUCCCUUCCUACAAAGUGGGAUCAUCGGGCCUCUGAUGCGUUUUGUGGCAUCCCGAGGAUCAAUGUGUCACCUGACCAGAACUCACUUACCAGUUAGCUUGUCUCUGUCAUAACAAAUUGUAUCAAAUAAAAACUGUG